AGUAGAAGGAAGUCCGCGAGCUCCGUGGGUUUGUGCCUAGGCGCUUGAGGUUCGGGGCCUUCAGCUGGCACCGGGGGCGCUGCGUUGGCGAAUUUGGCACUCUUGGCGUUGGGUGGGUGGCAUCUUGGGGGUCACAUGAGCCAGUGGCAUCAUGCCUGCGGGCGCUGGGGUCAGGGUCGCGGUUUUUCCGGACGUUCGUCGGUCAAGAGGACGGGCGGAAAGCACAUCCCGGAAAGGUGGAAAGACUAUCUCCCAGUUGGACAGUGGAUGCCUGGGACUCGUUUCAUUGCUUUCAAAGUUCCUUUAAAAUAGAGUUUUGAAAAGAACCUUGCUCCAGAAGAAUGCUUUUCCCCCUUGGAUCUUUUUUAUCAAACUCCGAGAACAGAAUGAAGAACUUGGGCUGAUUAUUGACUUAUCAUAUACUCGCCACUAUUAUAAGCCAGAGGACUUACCAGAAACUAUUCCUUAUUUAAAAAUGUGUACAAUUGGGCAUCAGGUGCCAGAUGAUGACACUAUUUUUAAAUUCCAAUGUGUUGUUAAUGGGUUUUUGAAAGAAAAUAAGAUAAUGCUUGGGCUUACGUCUUAAGCCUCACUUUUUCACUGUGAAAGAAGAACGGUGCUACUUACCCGAGGUCUCCACAGGCACAUAGACCCGUGGCGUGCGAGGAGCAGUGAAUGAGAGAAGGAAUGGAAGUGCUUUGGGACCCCAAGAGCCCUUCAAAAACAGUUUGUUCUUUUAAAUAUUGAGGAUUAAAAGUGAAGGCAUUCCAUUUGUUUCACUCAAAAACAAAUUCCAUUUUGAGUUUAUUUUUGUGUAUGGUGUUAGGGAGUGUUCUAAUUUCAUACUUUUACAUGUACCUGUCCUGUUUUCCCAGCACCACUUAUUGAAGAGGCUGUCUUUUCUGCACUGUAUAUUCUUGCCUCCUUUGUCAAAGAUAAGGUGACCAUAUGUGUGUGGGUUUAUCUCUGGGCUUUCUGUCCUGUUCCAUUGAUCUAUAUUUCUGUUUUUGUGCCAGUACCAUACUGUCUUGAUUACUGUAGCUUUGUAGUAUAGUCUGAGGUCAGGGAGCCUGAUUCCUCCACCUCCAUUUUUCAUUCUCAAGAUUGCUUUGGCUAUUCAGGGUCUUUUGUGUUUACAUACAAAUUGUGAAAUUUCUUUUUCUAGUCUGUAAAAAAUGCCAGUGUUAGUUUGAUAGGGAUUGCAUUGAAUCUCUACAUUGCUUUGGGUAGUAGAAUCAUUUUCAAAAUGUUGAUUCUUCCAAUCCAAGAACAUGGUAUAUCU
This is an RNA transcript of Physeter macrocephalus (sperm whale), 1282 nucleotides long. It is a transcript of the gene named RNA/RNP complex-1-interacting phosphatase-like, with no coding region annotated. The record is from RefSeq and is a predicted model, not a curated record. The transcript has 5 exons. Lineage: Eukaryota; Metazoa; Chordata; Mammalia; Artiodactyla; Physeteridae.